Molecule: ribosomal RNA, 174 nt
Filed under: uncultured Streptococcus sp.
Lineage: Bacteria; Bacillati; Bacillota; Bacilli; Lactobacillales; Streptococcaceae
Description: partial 16S ribosomal RNA
Rfam family: Bacterial small subunit ribosomal RNA
Source: RNAcentral
CCUGGGCUACACACGUGCUACAAUGGUGGUACAACGAGUUGCGAGUCGGUGACGGCGAGCUAAUCUCUUAAAGCCAAUCUCAGCUCGGAUUGUAGGCUGCAACUCGCCUACAUGAAGUCGGAAUCGCUAGUAAUCGCGGAUCAGCACGCCGCGGUGAAUACGUUCCCGGGCCUU